RNAcentral lists this ribosomal RNA (830 nucleotides) under alpha proteobacterium SCGC AAA288-C23. RNAcentral describes it as "SSU rRNA". It matches the Rfam family "Bacterial small subunit ribosomal RNA", at positions 31 to 912 of the family's 1533-position model. The record is from RNAcentral. Lineage: Bacteria; Pseudomonadati; Pseudomonadota; Alphaproteobacteria.
CGACGCUGGCGGCACGCCUAACACAUGCAAGUCGAACGAAGUAGCAAUACUUAGUGGCGAACGGGUGAGUAUAAUGUGGGUAUCUGCCUUUUGGUUUGGAAUAACACGGGGAAACUUGUGCUAAUACCGUAUAAGCCUUUACAGGGAAAGCUUUAGCGCCAAAAGAUGAGCCCGCACUUGAUUAGCUAGUUGGUAAGGUAAUGGCUUACCAAGGCUACGAUCAAUAGCUGAUCUGAGAGGAUGAUCAGCCACAUUGGGACUGAGACACGGCCCAAACUCCUACGGGGGGCAGCAGUGGGGAAUCUUGCACAAUGGGGGAAACCCUGAUGCAGCGAUGCCGCGUGAGUGAAGAAGGCCUUUGGGUUGUAAAGCUCUUUCGUCGGGGAAGAAAAUGACUGUACCCGAAUAAGAAGGUCCGGCUAACUUCGUGCCAGCAGCCGCGGUAAUACGAAGGGACCUAGCGUAGUUCGGAAUUACUGGGCUUAAAGAGCUCGUAGGUGGUUAAGAAAGUUGGUGGUGAAAUCCCAAGGCUUAACCUUGGAACUGCCACCAAAACUUUUUGACUAGAGUAUGAUAGAGGUAAGUGGAAUUUCUAGUGUAGAGGUGAAAUUCGUAGAUAUUAGAAAGAACACCAAUUGCGAAGGCAACUUUCUGGAUCAUUACUGACACUGAGGAGCGAAAGCAUGGGUAGCGAAGAGGAUUAGAUACCCUCGUAGUCCAUGCCGUAAACGAUGUGUGCUAGACGUUGGAAACUUUAGUUUUCAGUGUCGCAGCGAAAGCGUUAAGCACACCGCCUGGGGAGUACGACCGCAAGGUACCUAAAUGAUACG